This is a long non-coding RNA of Etheostoma spectabile (orangethroat darter), 125 nucleotides long. RefSeq lists it as uncharacterized. Lineage: Eukaryota; Metazoa; Chordata; Actinopteri; Perciformes; Percidae. The transcript has 3 exons. The record is from RefSeq and is a predicted model, not a curated record.
GCAGGGGGUAGGCGGGGAAGAGGGUACAGUCCCUUCAACGGGCACAGACACAGGCGAAGAAAUGGGUGAAGGCACAGGCGAAGAGAUGGCCACAGGCAAAGGUGGAAAAGGUGGCAAGGUUGGAA